Molecule: ribosomal RNA, 484 nt
Filed under: uncultured bacterium
Lineage: Bacteria
Description: partial 16S ribosomal RNA
Rfam family: Bacterial small subunit ribosomal RNA
Source: RNAcentral
AUUGAACGCUGGCGGCAGGCCUAACACAUGCAAGUCGAGCGGAUGAAGGGAGCUUGCUCCUGGAUUCAGCGGCGGACGGGUGAGUAAUGCCUAGGAAUCUGCCUGGUAGUGGGGGAUAACGUCCGGAAACGGGCGCUAAUACCGCAUACGUCCUGAGUGAGAAAGAGGGGGAUCUUCGGACCUCACGCUAUCAGAUGAGCCUAGGUCGGAUUGGCUAGUUGGUGGGGUAAAGGCCUACCAAGGCGACGAUCCGUAACUGGUCUGAGAGGAUGAUCAGUCACACGGGAACUGGGACACGGUCCAGACUCCUACGGGAGGCAGAAGUGGGGAAUAUUGGACAAUGGGCGAAAGCCUGAUCCAGACAUGCGGCGUGUGUGAAGAAGGUCUUCGGAUUGUAAAGCCCUUUAAGUUGGGAGGAAGGGCAGUAAGUUAAUACCUUGCUGUUUUGACGUUACCAACAGAAUAAGCACCGGCUAACUUCGUG